CUGGUGUGGGGAGCUGGAAAAGGUCCCUUCCUGUUUAGGUGAGUGUGAGACUCUUGAAAUGAUUCAGGUGAAAGGGUGUCGUGAGUCUGUUGUAGAUUCUGUAAAGCAAAUUCAACAAGAACAGAAAGAUAUGGGAAAUGAGGUUCUAAGGAUCGAAAUUGAUAAUUAUGAUGAUAGAUCCAUUUCCUCAGAAGAAGAGUCUACAGAAGCAGAGUCAAGUCCCUCAGAAGCAGAGGAGGUUUCUUCAGAAAGAGAGUCUAUAUCCUCUCAUCACGCAGUUGGCAAUUGUGAGAGUGAAUGUACAGUGGGAUUCCACUCAUCAGAGUAGAUUUCCUCAGCCGGAGAGUCCAUUUCUUCUCAUCAUCACAUUAGGCAAUGGUAAAGACUGAAGCAUUUAUGUCUCUUCUUGACUUUGUGUGAUCAUUCCACUCAUCAGGGGCAAGCACAGUCAUGCAUUCUAUCAAGCCAAUAUUAUCCAUCAUAAUCUGUUUGUAAAACAAGCUGUUUGUAACUCUCUGUUUAAAGCACAGUCAUGGUUUGAUGUUUGAUAGUGUUUACGAUCCAUCACAAUCUGUUUGUAAAAUAUUCUCCAAGUUCUUUCCUGAUUUUGAUGUUUAAUAGUUUUCAUGAUCCCAAUUUUUCAAA
This is a long non-coding RNA of Coffea arabica (coffee), 645 nucleotides long. RefSeq lists it as uncharacterized. Lineage: Eukaryota; Viridiplantae; Streptophyta; Magnoliopsida; Gentianales; Rubiaceae. The record is from RefSeq and is a predicted model, not a curated record.